RNAcentral lists this ribosomal RNA (468 nucleotides) under uncultured bacterium. Its description in RNAcentral is "partial 16S ribosomal RNA". It matches the Rfam family "Bacterial small subunit ribosomal RNA", at positions 28 to 507 of the family's 1533-position model. The record is from RNAcentral.
GACGAACGCUGGCGGCGUGCUUAACACAUGCAAGUCGAACGGAAAGGCCCUGCUUUUGUGGGGUGCUCGAGUGGCGAACGGGUGAGUAACACGUGAGUAACCUGCCCUUGACUUUGGGAUAACUUCAGGAAACUGGGGCUAAUACCGGAUAGGAGCUCCUGCUGCAUGGUGGUGGUUGGAAAGUUUCGGCGGUUGGGGAUGGACUCGCGGCUUAUCAGCUUGUUGGUGGGGUAGUGGCUUACCAAGGCUUUGACGGGUAGCCGGCCUGAGAGGGUGACCGGCGACAUUGGGACUGAGAUACGGCCCAGAAUCCUACGGGAGGCAGCAGUGGGGAAUAUUGCACAAUGGGCGGAAGCCUGAUGAAGCAACGCCGCGUGCGGGAUGACGGCCUUCGGGUUGUAAACAGCUUUCGACUGUGACGAAGCGUGAGUGACGGUAAUGGGUAAAGAAGCACCGGCUAACUACGUG